This is a long non-coding RNA of Passer domesticus (house sparrow), 186 nucleotides long. RefSeq lists it as uncharacterized. The transcript has 3 exons. NCBI's taxonomy places the organism in Eukaryota, Metazoa, Chordata, Aves, Passeriformes, Passeridae. The record is from RefSeq and is a predicted model, not a curated record.
GGCCAAGCAAGACAUCCAACAGAUGGCAACCCACCAAAGAGAUGCCAGGAACACAGCAUGUGCAAUCCAAGCUGCUGCCCCCAAACCUCUGGACUGGCAAAAAAAUCUCAUGGUGGAGCAGGGAUCCCAAAGUUCAAGAAGUGAUUCUGGACAGCUGCCUCAAUUGCUGCAAUACUGUGCAAAACU